UGCCUGCUGUGCUGAUAAUCAGU
Molecule: microRNA, 23 nt
Filed under: Salmo salar (Atlantic salmon)
Lineage: Eukaryota; Metazoa; Chordata; Actinopteri; Salmoniformes; Salmonidae
Description: ssa-miR-24a-4-5p
Gene: ssa-miR-24a-4-5p
Source: miRBase by way of RNAcentral